UACGGAGGUGGCAAGCGUUGCUCGGAAUCACUGGGCGUAAAGGGCGCGUAGGCGGGGAGGUAAGUCGGGUGUUAAAUCCCUCGGCCCAACCGAGGAACUGCGCCCGAGACUGCUUCUCUUGAGUCCCGGAGAGGAAGAUGGAAUUCCCGGUGUAGCGGUGAAAUGUGUAGAGAUCGGGAGGAACACCGGUGGCGAAGGCGGUCUUCUGGACGGUGACUGACGCUGAGGCGCGAAAGCGUGGGGAGCAAACGGG
Molecule: ribosomal RNA, 253 nt
Filed under: uncultured bacterium
Lineage: Bacteria
Description: partial 16S ribosomal RNA
Rfam family: Bacterial small subunit ribosomal RNA
Source: RNAcentral